GAGUUUGAUCCUGGCUCAGGACGAACGCUGGCGGCGUGCUUAAUACAUGCAAGUCGAACGGGGUCCAUCCUUCGGGAGAAGACCUAGUGGCGAACGGGUGAGUAACACGUGAGCAACCUGUCCUAAAGACCGGGAUAAGCCAGGGAAACUUGGUCUAAUACCGGAUACCUUCAUCGGGUCCUAUGGCCUGGUGAAGAAAUGUUUUUCGCUUUGGGAGGGGCUCGCGGCCUAUCAGCUUGUUGGUGGGGUAAUGGCCUACCAAGGCGUCGACGGGUAGCUGGUCUGAGAGGAUGAUCAGCCACACUGGGACUGAGACACGGCCCAGACUCCUACGGGAGGCAGCAGUAGGGAAUCUUGCGCAAUGGGCGAAAGCCUGACGCAGCAACGCCGCGUGAGGGAUGACGGCUCUCGGGUUGUAAACCUCUUUCAGCAGGAACGAAAUUGACGGUACCUGCAGAAGAAGCUCCGGCCAACUACGUGCCAGCAGCCGCAGU
This 494-nucleotide ribosomal RNA is filed under the name uncultured bacterium. RNAcentral describes it as "bacterial SSU rRNA". It matches the Rfam family "Bacterial small subunit ribosomal RNA", at positions 9 to 521 of the family's 1533-position model. The record is from RNAcentral.